UCUUCCUCUAUGUGGGCCUAAAAUGGCUCCCAAUGAGAAGAGAACAGAAAGACAUUAGGGAUUAGAAAAACAAAUUCCCACAGAUAUGAAGACCUUGGAGCGGCUACAUUGUUUCUCCAGGAAGCUCACAGCCUGCCAGGGUCUCUGGGCAGCUGACUCCAGCUUCCCAAUCUGCAGAAAUGUCCAGACUAUGGUCAGAGGAGACCCACAGCGCCACCAGAUUCUCAUCAGCAUGCUCAGCACAGCGCAGAGGACAUGCUGCUUUCAUGGAGAAUAACUGAUUAGGCCCUGCGAGCAAGUCACUGCAUCGUGGCCAGAUGGGAAAAGCUGCCAUCUGAAGCACGGGAAGUUUUCUCAGCAAAAAGCAAACUGGACAUGUGAAAGGAGGAGAGGCUGGCUUCGCACAGAUGCAAAACCGGAGGCCCAGGGAAGUUCAGUCACUUGCUUCAGGUCACACAGUGCGCCCAACUGUUUCCAGGUUGUCCCCCAAAUCCUGACUUCAUGUGGAGAGUACCUCUCCUCUCCUAGUUCCUGCCUCCCCCGUGCCAAAGGAAGGACGCGGAAGCCAGAGCUCAGCUGCCUGCCAUUUCUGUGCUGUUCCUCCAAAUCUUCUAAUAAAUAUCUUUGUGGCCUGGGUUACUCAGAGUCAGUUUCUGUUGUUGGCAGCCAGAGAACCCAGAAUGAUGCAUGCAGGAAAGAAAGUAAGGGAACAGAUAGGCUCUGAGCCCGGGACUCCCAAUGCCUAGUUCACUGCUAUUUCCGUCCUGCCAGGCUGCCUACCUCCUGGCCCAGCUGUCCACUGUCCAGCCAUCUGUCCCCACGUCUGAGCAGACUGUA
This is a long non-coding RNA of Fukomys damarensis (Damara mole-rat), 837 nucleotides long. RefSeq lists it as uncharacterized. The transcript has 3 exons. Lineage: Eukaryota; Metazoa; Chordata; Mammalia; Rodentia; Bathyergidae. The record is from RefSeq and is a predicted model, not a curated record.